UGUAAGGCCGGGCACGGGGGCGAGGUAAAGGGGAGGGGGCAAUGGGUAUCCGGGUUUACGGGGGGUAAAGGGGUGGUGGGCGGGCCAUUAAGUCAGGGGUGAAAUCCCGGAGCUGAACUCCGGAACUGCCUUUGAUACUAUUGGUCUUGAAUAUUGUUGAGGUGGGCGGAACGGGUCAUGUAGCGGUGAAAUGCAUAGAUAUGACCCGGAACACCGAUUGCGAAGGCAGCCCGCUAAGCAAUGAUUGACGCUGAGGCACGAAAGCGUGGGGAUCAAACAGGAUUAGAUACCCCGGUAGUC
This 300-nucleotide ribosomal RNA is filed under the name uncultured Methanocaldococcus sp. RNAcentral describes it as "bacterial SSU rRNA". The stretch from base 52 to 300 matches the Rfam family "Bacterial small subunit ribosomal RNA", at positions 547 to 795 of the family's 1533-position model. Lineage: Archaea; Methanobacteriati; Methanobacteriota; Methanococci; Methanococcales; Methanocaldococcaceae. The record is from RNAcentral.